GAUGAACGCUGGCGGCGUGCUUAACACAUGCAAGUCGAACGAUGAAGCCCAGCUUGCUGGGUGGAUUAGUGGCGAACGGGUGAGUAACACGUGAGUAACCUGCCCUUAACUCUGGGAUAAGCCUGGGAAACUGGGUCUAAUACCGGAUAGGAGCGUCCACCGCAUGGUGGGUGUUGGAAAGAUUUAUCGGUUUUGGAUGGACUCGCGGCCUAUCAGCUUGUUGGUGAGGUAAUGGCUCACCAAGGCGACGACGGGUAGCCGGCCUGAGAGGGUGACCGGCCACACUGGGACUGAGAGACGGUCCAGACGCGUACGGGAGGCAGCAGGGGGGAAGAUUGGACAAAGGGCGCAAGCCUGAUCCAGCCAUACCGCGUGUGUGAAGAAGGCCUUCGGGUGGGAAAGCCCUUUUGUUGGGAAAGAAAAGAAGCAGGUUAAUACCCCGCUGGUCUGACGGUACCCAAAGAAUAAGCACCGGCUAACUUCGUG
This 486-nucleotide ribosomal RNA is filed under the name uncultured bacterium. Its description in RNAcentral is "partial 16S ribosomal RNA". It matches the Rfam family "Bacterial small subunit ribosomal RNA", at positions 28 to 507 of the family's 1533-position model. The record is from RNAcentral.